RNAcentral lists this ribosomal RNA (301 nucleotides) under uncultured bacterium. RNAcentral's name for it is "partial 16S ribosomal RNA". It matches the Rfam family "Bacterial small subunit ribosomal RNA", at positions 509 to 807 of the family's 1533-position model. The record is from RNAcentral.
CAGUAGCCGCGGGAAUACGUAGGUGGCAAGCGUUGUCCGGAAUUAUUGGGCGUAAGGGGCCCGCAGGCGGUUUCUUAAGUCUGAUGUGAAAGCCCCCGGCUCAACCGGGGAGGGUCAUUGGAAACUGGGAAACUUGAGUGCAGAAGAGGAGAGUGGAAUUCCACGUGUAGCGGUGAAAUGCGUAGAGAUGUGGAGGAACACCAGUGGCGAAGGCGACUCUCUGGUCUGUAACUGACGCUGAGGAGCGAAAGCGUGGGGAGCGAACAGGAUUAGAGACCCCGGUAGUCCCUGUCUCUUAUAC